GUGCCAGCCGCCGCGGUAAUACCGGCAGCCCGAGUGAUGGUCGAUAUUAUUGGGCCUAAAGCGUCCGUAGCUGGCCGAACAAGUCCGUCGGGAAAUCCACGUGCUUAACGCGUGGGCGUCCAGCGGAAACUGUCUGGCUUGGGGCCGGAGGACUCGAGGGGUACGUCCGGGGUAGGAGUGAAAUCCCGUAAUCCUGGACGGACCACCGGUGGCGAAAGCGCCUCGAGAGGACGGACCCGACGGUGAGGAACGAAAGCCAGGGUCUCGAACCGGAUUAGAUACCCUUGUAGUCC
Molecule: ribosomal RNA, 293 nt
Filed under: uncultured bacterium
Lineage: Bacteria
Description: partial 16S ribosomal RNA
Rfam family: Archaeal small subunit ribosomal RNA
Source: RNAcentral